RNAcentral lists this ribosomal RNA (496 nucleotides) under uncultured bacterium. Its description in RNAcentral is "partial 16S ribosomal RNA". It matches the Rfam family "Bacterial small subunit ribosomal RNA", at positions 28 to 506 of the family's 1533-position model. The record is from RNAcentral.
GAUGAACGCUGGCGGCGUGCCUAAUACAUGCAAGUCGAGCGAACGGACGAGAAGCUUGCUUCUCUGAUGUUAGCGGCGGACGGGUGAGUAACACGUGGAUAACCUACCUAUAAGACUGGGAUAACUUCGGGAAACCGGAGCUAAUACCGGAUAAUAUUUUGAACCGCAUGGUUCAAAAGUGAAAGACGGUCUUGCUGUCACUUAUAGAUGGAUCCGCGCUGCAUUAGCUAGUUGGUAAGGUAACGGCUUACCAAGGCAACGAUGCAUAGCCGACCUGAGAGGGGGAUGGCCCACACGGAAAGUGAGAACCGACCCAGCCACCUAGGGAGGGCAGAGGUGGGAAACCUACCGAAAUGGGCGAAAGCCUGCCGAAGCAACGCGGCGUGGGUGAUGAAGGCCUUCGGAUGGUAAAACUCUGUUAUUGGGGAAAAACAUAUGUGUAAGUAACUGUGCAGAUCUGGCGGUAACCAAAUCAGAAGGCCAGGGCAAACUACGG